Molecule: non-coding RNA, 135 nt
Organism: Triticum urartu
Lineage: Eukaryota; Viridiplantae; Streptophyta; Magnoliopsida; Poales; Poaceae
Source: Rfam
CAAAUACUCCCUCCGUCCGGAAAUACUUGUCAUCAAAAUGGAUAAAAGGAAAUGUAUCUAGACGUAUUUUAGUUUUAGAUACAUCUCUUUUUAUCCAUUUUGAUGACAAGUAUUUUCCGACGAAGGGAGUAGAAA